GCCCUUGUGGCCUAAUGGCUAAGGCAUCAGACUUCUAAUCUGAGGAUUCAGGGUUCGAAUCCCUGCUCGGGCU
Fusarium venenatum is the source of this 73-nucleotide non-coding RNA. The record is from the annotation of a RefSeq genome assembly. Lineage: Eukaryota; Fungi; Ascomycota; Sordariomycetes; Hypocreales; Nectriaceae.